AGAGACCUCAAGCGUUAUCCGGAAUCAUUGGGCGUAAAGCGUACCGAUAGGUGGUUUUGUUAGUCUUGGGUAAAAGCCAGAAGCUCAACUUCUGAGUUUGCUUAAGAUACUGCGAAACUAGAGGGGCAAAGAGGUGAUUGGAACGAAUGGUGUAGUAGUGAAAUGCGUUGAUAUCAUUCGGAACACCGAAAGCGAAGGCAGAUCACUGGGUGCCUCCUGACACUGCUAGGACGAAAGCGUGGGUAGCGAAUGGGAUUAGAUACCCCAGUAGUCCACGCUGUAAACGAUGAAUACUAGGCAUGCGCGAGUAUCGACCCUCGUGCGAGCCGUAGCUAACGCGUUAAGUAUUCCGCCUGGGGAGUACGGUCGCAAGACUA
This 377-nucleotide ribosomal RNA is filed under the name uncultured bacterium. Its description in RNAcentral is "bacterial SSU rRNA". It matches the Rfam family "Bacterial small subunit ribosomal RNA", at positions 527 to 896 of the family's 1533-position model. The record is from RNAcentral.